This is a long non-coding RNA of Lolium perenne, 446 nucleotides long. RefSeq lists it as uncharacterized. The record is from RefSeq and is a predicted model, not a curated record. NCBI's taxonomy places the organism in Eukaryota, Viridiplantae, Streptophyta, Magnoliopsida, Poales, Poaceae.
GUCACCGCUUUGACCGACCAAUUCUCACUCUCGCUCCCCUCAGCUCACUCUCUUUCGGCGCUCCAGGAGCGAAGAACUCGACACCGCCACGUCGUGUCCCAUCAUGGUGUCCUGGAGCGAUGAAAUCGACCAAAUUCAGCUGGGGUGAAGAGUGAAGAGGACAUUGAGAAAUUUUUGGAACAAUUAUGAAGGGAUAUUGAUCUGAAUCGAGAGCUCAAAGAAGAAAAGAAGGAAACAAGAACAACGUCGAAGGUAGAAGAGAAAAGAUAGCACAGGAAGAGAAGAUGGAGCUAGAGCUGUAUCUUGCUGACCAUGUCACAGCAGAUAACCAAACUAAGUCAAAAAUUUGGAAGAUGCGGAACAUGGCGCGGCUACAUAGGAUUGUAACACUAAGUCUGUAUUUAUGUUCAAAUCACCCACUUUACCUUUGAAUUACUUCCUACGCC